CGCGGCCUAUCAGCUUGUUGGUGAGGUAACGGCUCACCAAGGCAUCGACGGGUAGCUAGUCUGAGAGGACGGAUAGCCACACUGGGACUGAGACACGGCCCAGACUUCUACGGAAGGCAGCAGUGGGGAAUCUUGCACAAUGGGCGAAAGCCUGAUGCAGCGACGCCGCGUGGGGGAUGAAGGCCCUAGGGUCGUAAACCCCUUUCAGUGGGGACGAAACUGACGGUACCCACAGAAGAAGGUCCGGCCAACUACGUGCCAGCAGCCGCGGUAAGACGUAGGGACCGAGCGUUGUCCGGAUUUAUUGGGCGUAGAGAGCUUGUAGGCGGUUGCGUAAGUCGGAUGUGAAAACUCGAGGCUCAACCUCGAGAUGCCAUCCGAUACUGCGCUGACUUGAAUCCAGUAGGGGAGUGUGGAAUUUGUCGUGUAGCGGUGAAAUGCGCAGAUAUGACAAGGAACACCUAUGGCGAAGGCAGCGCUCUGGGCUGGUAUUGACGCUGAGGAGCGAAAGCAUGGGUAGCAAACAGGAUUAGAUACCCUGGUAGUCCAUGCCGUAAACGGUGGGCACUAGGUGUGGGGACUUUCAACGGUUUCCGUGCCGAAGCUAACGCAUUAAGUGCCCCGCCUGGGGAGUACGG
Molecule: ribosomal RNA, 638 nt
Filed under: uncultured Iamia sp.
Lineage: Bacteria; Bacillati; Actinomycetota; Acidimicrobiia; Acidimicrobiales; Iamiaceae
Description: bacterial SSU rRNA
Rfam family: Bacterial small subunit ribosomal RNA
Source: RNAcentral